GCUGGGCACAGUGGCGCAUGCCUGUAAUCCCAGUGGCUCGGGAGGCUGAGGCAGGAGAAUCACAAGUUCAAAUCCAUCCUUAGAAACUUAGCAACUUAGUGAGACCCUGUCUCUA
This 115-nucleotide small RNA is filed under the name Marmota monax (woodchuck). The record is from RNAcentral. Lineage: Eukaryota; Metazoa; Chordata; Mammalia; Rodentia; Sciuridae.